This 309-nucleotide long non-coding RNA is filed under the name Salvia miltiorrhiza (redroot sage). RNAcentral describes it as "long non-coding RNA (SMIL_LNC012751)". The record is from RNAcentral. Lineage: Eukaryota; Viridiplantae; Streptophyta; Magnoliopsida; Lamiales; Lamiaceae.
GGCGGUAAUUAAAAAGAGACAUUACACUAAUUGAGGUAUAUAUUGAAUACUAGAAUAAAGAAUCUCUUCUUCUUCCUUCACACUCCUCUCAUAUUCUGCUUUCCUCUGCAACUCCGAAGCAAUAAUACAACCCAUGGCAGCAGCUUAUGCAGCUCUGGUUUCUGCUAUGCAUAUCAUAAACAACCUUCACCAUCAUCCUCGCCCUCCUAUUUCUCUCCACAUUAAACAAGUUGAGUCUCUCACUCAAAAGAUUAAUUUCCUGCUCCAAUUUCUCCAAGGCUAUAACCCCCAUCGUGGCUACUCCCAAGA